GGUAGUAGCAAAUACUCAAGUGAGAACCUUGAGGACUGAAGGUGGAGAAGGGUUCCAUGUGAACAGCAGUUGAACAUGGGUCAGUCGGUCCUAAGCGAUCGGAGAAAUCCGUUCCGAAGGGGGACGUUAAGAGCAUAGAAUUUGCAAGUUUGUCCCCCUGUCGACCGAAAGGGAAUGGGGUUAAUAUUCCCCAACCUGGACACGGAGAUGGAGCUUCGGCUCCAAAUGCGGUAACGCAACCGAACUCGGAGACGUCGACGGGAGACUCGGGGAAGAGUUAUCUUUUCUUUGUCCUGGUUUCUCGUGUCCCUGGAAUCGGAUCAUCCGGAGAUAGGGAUGAUGAGUUCGUAAAAGCACCGCGGCUCUUGCGGUGUCCGGUACGCUCCUGUCGACCCUUGCAAAUCCGAGGGAGAGAUUAUGAUUUUCGUGCCAGACCGUACCCAUAUCCGCAGCAGGUCUCCAAGGUGAACAGCCUCUAGUC
Molecule: non-coding RNA, 481 nt
Filed under: Stegodyphus mimosarum
Lineage: Eukaryota; Metazoa; Arthropoda; Arachnida; Araneae; Eresidae
Description: eukaryotic large subunit ribosomal RNA
Rfam family: Eukaryotic large subunit ribosomal RNA
Source: Rfam by way of RNAcentral